UCCAAGUAAGUCUCCACUACUGCCGUGUUGACAAGUAAACCUGAGGGAGAAGAGUCAAGAAUGAAGGCUAGACUUGGUAACCAAGGCACAGCUGUUGACAAGAAAGGCCAUGGAAUUCCUCGUCCAACUUAUAGGAAUCGUCAUCCAGCAACAAGGAGGGAACUUCACAGAGUGCUCCGUAUCAAAGUUCACCUGCAAGCCAGAGAGCUGGAGAGAGAGAGAGAGAGAGAGACAACAGCAUCCAUGCCCGGAACGUUUUGCCAAGCCCUGGAGUGGGCUCAAAUUGCGUGCAGCAGUCUUCCGUUCUUGAAGGGCCUCGUGAGCUGUCUUUUAGGCGCCGAAGAGCGUGCAAGUCAAGAAGUCGAAGAAGACGAUCCUGCGCUCGUGGCUAAUGUUGCUGCGCAGAAACACUUCCGCCAGCAGUUGCGUGUCAUGUAACUUCACUAAGCUUCUGUAACAGGUGUAACUUCGAAUUCCAUGGUGUUGUUGAUGAGCUAAUUUAACAUGCUUAGUUGUUUUGAUUAUUAUUAUUCUCUUUGAUGAGUAAAGUGGGGUUACCAUCCCAUCAUUUACUGGAACAAAUUAAACAAAGGUGAAAGGUUGGUGGCAAGACAACCGAGACAACACACAUCACAAUUGCACCCUGAAACUGAUCGUCUUGGUUGAGAAAGUUUCUGAUCUUAUCGCAAGCCCGGAAGUUAUGGUAGAUCUUCUCAAUUAUGCAAUCAUCUAACUUUUUCCUACUUGGAUGGCAAGCAAGCAGGAUUACCCCAAAUGUAUUGUUUUAUAUGAUUCAUUGCUUUCGAUGAACAAGGAGACGAUGUUCGAUCUUAUGAGCUACGUGUGUGACGAUUCCUUAUUCU
Molecule: long non-coding RNA, 863 nt
Filed under: Musa acuminata (dwarf banana)
Lineage: Eukaryota; Viridiplantae; Streptophyta; Magnoliopsida; Zingiberales; Musaceae
Description: long non-coding RNA (MACU_LNC004102)
Source: RNAcentral